This 437-nucleotide ribosomal RNA is filed under the name uncultured Opitutaceae bacterium. Its description in RNAcentral is "bacterial SSU rRNA". It matches the Rfam family "Bacterial small subunit ribosomal RNA", at positions 55 to 486 of the family's 1533-position model. The record is from RNAcentral. Lineage: Bacteria; Pseudomonadati; Verrucomicrobiota; Opitutia; Opitutales; Opitutaceae.
AUGCAAGUCGAACGAGAAGCAUUACUUCGGUUUUGUGGAAAGUGGCGAACGGGUGCGUAACACGUGAGCAACCUGCCCUUGAGUAUGGAAUAGCCCGACGAAAGUCGGAUUAAUGCCGUAUGUGGCCUUUCUUCGCAUGAUGAAAUGGUUAAAGCUUGCAAUCGCGCUCAAGGAUGGGCUCGCGGCCUAUCAGCUUGUUGGUGAGGUAAAGGCUCACCAAGGCUAAUACGGGUAGCUGGUCUGAGAGGAUGAUCAGCCACACCGGGACUGAGACACGGCCCGGACACCUACGGGUGGCAGCAGUUUCGAAUCAUUCACAAUGGGCGAAAGCCUGAUGGUGCAAUGCCGCGUGGAGGAUGACGGCCCUAGGGUUGUAAACUCCUGUCAUUGGGGAGCAACAAGCAGGUUUAUAGCCUGCCCUGAGUUAACCCAAAGAG